GACGAACGCUGGCGGCGUGCUUAACACAUGCAAGUCGAACGAAGAGCGAUGGAAGCUUGCUUCUAUCAAUCUUAGUGGCGAACGGGUGAGUAACGCGUAAUCAACCUGCCCUUCAGAGGGGGACAACAGUUGGAAACGACUGCUAAUACCGCAUACGAUCUAAACUCGGCAUCGAGGAUAGAUGAAAGGUGGCCUCUACAUGUAAGCUAUCACUGAAGGAGGGGAUUGCGUCUGAUUAGCUAGUAGGAGGGGUAACGGCCCACCAAGGCGAUGAUCAGUAGCCGGUCUGAGAGGAUGAACGGCCACAUUGGGACUGAGACACGGCCCAGACUCCUACGGGAGGCAGCAGUGGGGAAUCUUCCGCAAUGGACGAAAGUCUGACGGAGCAACGCCGCGUGAGUGAUGACGGCCUUCGGGUUGUAAAGCUCUGUUAAUCGGGACGAAAGGCCUUCUUGCGAAUAGUGAGAAGGAUUGACGGUACCGGAAUAGAAAGCCACGGCUAACUACGUG
Molecule: ribosomal RNA, 510 nt
Filed under: uncultured bacterium
Lineage: Bacteria
Description: partial 16S ribosomal RNA
Rfam family: Bacterial small subunit ribosomal RNA
Source: RNAcentral